GGGGGUAUAGUUCAGUGGUAGAGUUCUUGCUUAGCGUGUAAGAGGUCCUGGGUUCCAUCCCCAGUACUGGUA
RNAcentral lists this transfer RNA (72 nucleotides) under Camelus bactrianus (Bactrian camel). It matches the Rfam family "tRNA". Rfam says of the family: Transfer RNA (tRNA) molecules are approximately 80 nucleotides in length. Their secondary structure includes four short double-helical elements and three loops (D, anti-codon, and T loops). The record is from Rfam by way of RNAcentral. Lineage: Eukaryota; Metazoa; Chordata; Mammalia; Artiodactyla; Camelidae. RNAcentral also lists the same sequence under 1 other name.